GACGAACGCUGGCGGCGUGCCUAAUACAUGCAAGUUGAGCGCUGAAGGUUGGUACUUGUACCAACUGGAUGAGCAGCGAACGGGUGAGUAACGCGUGGGGAAUCUGCCUUUGAGCGGGGGACAACAUUUGGAAACGAAUGCUAAUACCGCAUAAAAACUUUAAACACAAGUUUUAAGUUUGAAAGAUGCAAUUGCAUCACUCAAAGAUGAUCCCGCGUUGUAUUAGCUAGUUGGUGAGGUAAAGGCUCACCAAGGCGAUGAUACAUAGCCGACCUGAGAGGGUGAGCGGCCACAUUGGGACUGAGACACGGCCCAAACUCCUACGGGAGGCAGCAGUAGGGAAUCUUCGGCAAUGGACGAAAGUCUGACCGAGCAACGCCGCGGGAGUGAAGAAGGUUUUCGGAUCGUAAAACUCUGUUGGUAGAGAAGAACGUUGGUGAGAGUGGAAAGCUCAUCAAGUGACGGUAACUACCCAGAAAGGGACGGCUAACUACGUG
This 497-nucleotide ribosomal RNA is filed under the name uncultured bacterium. Its description in RNAcentral is "partial 16S ribosomal RNA". It matches the Rfam family "Bacterial small subunit ribosomal RNA", at positions 28 to 507 of the family's 1533-position model. The record is from RNAcentral.